Molecule: transfer RNA, 65 nt
Filed under: Dipodomys ordii (Ord's kangaroo rat)
Lineage: Eukaryota; Metazoa; Chordata; Mammalia; Rodentia; Heteromyidae
Rfam family: tRNA
About the family: Transfer RNA (tRNA) molecules are approximately 80 nucleotides in length.
Source: Rfam by way of RNAcentral
GGUGGCUCAGUGGUAGAGUGCUUGCCUUAUAUGCAUGAUGUCCUGGGUUCAAUUCCUCAGCACCA